This 809-nucleotide ribosomal RNA is filed under the name uncultured bacterium. Its description in RNAcentral is "bacterial SSU rRNA". It matches the Rfam family "Bacterial small subunit ribosomal RNA", at positions 60 to 825 of the family's 1533-position model. The record is from RNAcentral.
AGUCGUACGCACUGGCCCAACUGAUUGAUGGUGCUUGCACCUGAUCGACGAUGGAUCACCAGUGAGUGGCGGACGGGUGAGUAACACGUAGGUAACCUGCCCCGGAGCGGGGGAUAACAUUUGGAAACAGAUGCUAAUACCGCAUAACAACAAAAGCCACAUGGCUUUUGUUUGAAAGAUGGCUUUGGCUAUCACUCUGGGAUGGACCUGCGGUGCAUUAGCUAGUUGGUAAGGUAACGGCUUACCAAGGCGAUGAUGCAUAGCCGAGUUGAGAGACUGAUCGGCCACAAUGGAACUGAGACACGGUCCAUACUCCUACGGGAGGCAGCAGUAGGGAAUCUUCCACAAUGGGCGCAAGCCUGAUGGAGCAACACCGCGUGAGUGAAGAAGGGUUUCGGCUCGUAAAGCUCUGUUGUUGGAGAAGAACGUGCGUGAGAGUAACUGUUCACGCAGUGACGGUAUCCAACCAGAAAGUCACGGCUAACUACGUGCCAGCAGCCGCGGUAAUACGUAGGUGGCAAGCGUUAUCCGGAUUUAUUGGGCGUAAAGCGAGCGCAGGCGGUUGCUUAGGUCUGAUGUGAAAGCCUUCGGCUUAACCGAAGAAGUGCAUCGGAAACCGGGCGACUUGAGUGCAGAAGAGGACAGUGGAACUCCAUGUGUAGCGGUGGAAUGCGUAGAUAUAUGGAAGAACACCAGUGGCGAAGGCGGCUGUCUGGUCUGCAACUGACGCUGAGGCUCGAAAGCAUGGGUAGCGAACAGGAUUAGAUACCCUGGUAGUCCAUGCCGUAAACGAUGAGUGCUAGGUGUUG